Molecule: ribosomal RNA, 241 nt
Filed under: uncultured Staphylococcus sp.
Lineage: Bacteria; Bacillati; Bacillota; Bacilli; Caryophanales; Staphylococcaceae
Description: partial 16S ribosomal RNA
Rfam family: Bacterial small subunit ribosomal RNA
Source: RNAcentral
CGGACGGGUGAGUAACACGUGGAUAACCUACCUAUAAGACUGGGAUAACUUCGGGAAACCGGAGCUAAUACCGGAUAAUAUAUUGAACCGCAUGGUUCAAUAGUGAAAGACGGUUUUGCUGUCACUUAUAGAUGGAUCCGCGCCGCAUUAGCUAGUUGGUAAGGUAACGGCUUACCAAGGCGACGAUGCGUAGCCGACCUGAGAGGGUGAUCGGCCACACUGGAACUGAGGCACGGUCCAG